Molecule: ribosomal RNA, 789 nt
Filed under: Amynthas glaucus
Lineage: Eukaryota; Metazoa; Annelida; Clitellata; Crassiclitellata; Megascolecidae
Description: s-rRNA
Source: RNAcentral
CAGUUUGAUUCUGACUGAGAAAUUAACUUAAGCCAACCAACAUACAUGUAAAAUACCCUAUGCCCGCACUAAUUUAUAUCUAAAUGACUUAAUAAAUGUAUUAAGAGUACUAAAUACAGCAGAGCGCCACAGUAAGUAACACUUUUCAAUUUGCAAAAACAAGAAAAGAGUAUGGUUAAAGGGCUGGCAAAACUCGUGCCAGCUGCCGCGGUUAGACGACAAGCCCAAGUUAAUAUAAUAUAAACUAAAUUAAUGAUAACAUAAAAAACAAUAAAAGUCUAAUUUUCAAAGUCCUCGUUCCACACUUAUCAAAUAAUAAUGAAAUCAUAACCUAAAACGUGGAUUAGAUACCCACCUAUUUAUGAUAUAAAUAACAGUUGAAUAUUACGAACAAUAGUUUAAAAUUCAAAGAUUUUGGCGGUGUCUUAUAAAACCAGGGGAACCUGUCUCGUAACUCGAUAAUCCACGCAUACUCAACCUUCUCUCGAUAUACAGCAUGUGUACUGCCGUUGUAAGCAUACCUUUAAAAGAAUAAGUAUGCCACUAUGACUAACAUUAACUCAUAUACAUCAGGUCAAAGUGCAGCUAAUAAGAAGGUGACGAUGGGUUACAACCCCAAAAUAGACUAUCAACCAAGAAAUAAAAAAUCUUAAGAAAGUGGACUUGGCCGUAAUCAAUUUUAAGUUAAAAAAAAUGAAUAAAACCUAAGACAUGCACACAUCGCCCGUCACUCUAUCCUAAAGGUUAGAUAAGUCGUAACAAAGUAGGUGUAAUGGAAAUUGCACCUGU